GACGAACGCUGGCGGCGUGCUUAACACAUGCAAGUCGAACGGAAAGGCCCUGCUUGCCGGGUACUCGAGUGGCGAACGGGUGAGUAACACGUGGGUGAUCUGCCCUGCACUUCGGGAUAAGCCUGGGAAACUGGGUCUAAUACCGGAUAGGAGCCAUUUUUAGUGUGAUGGUUGGAAAGUUUUUUCGGUGUAGGAUGAGCUCGCGGCCUAUCAGCUUGUUGGUGGGGUAAUGGCCUACCAAGGCGGCGACGGGUAGCCGGCCUGAGAGGGUGGACGGCCACAUUGGGACUGAGAUACGGCCCAGACUCCUACGGGAGGCAGCAGUGGGGAAUAUUGCACGAUGGGCGCAAGCCUGAUGCAGCGACGCCGCGUGGGGGAUGACGGCCUUCGGGUUGUAAACUCCUUUCGCUAGGGACGAAGCUUUUUGUGACGGUACCUAGAUAAGAAGCACCGGCUAACUACGUG
RNAcentral lists this ribosomal RNA (465 nucleotides) under uncultured bacterium. Its description in RNAcentral is "partial 16S ribosomal RNA". It matches the Rfam family "Bacterial small subunit ribosomal RNA", at positions 28 to 507 of the family's 1533-position model. The record is from RNAcentral.